AUACGGAGGAUCCGAGCGUUAUCCGGAUUUAUUGGGUUUAAAGGGAGCGUAGGUGGAUUGUUAAGUCAGUUGUGAAAGUUUGGGGCUCAACCUUAAAAUUGCAGUUGAUACUGGUUUCCUUGAGUACGGUACAGGUGGGCGGAAUUCGUGGUGUAGCGGUGAAAUGCUUAGAUAUCACGAAGAACUCCGAUCGCGAAGGCAGCUCACCGGGCCGGAACUGACACUGAUGCUCGAAAGUGCGGGUAUCAAACAGGAUUAGAUACCCUGGUAGUCCGCACAGUAAACGAUGAAUACUCGCUGUUUGCGAUACACUGUAAGCGGCCAAGCGAAAGCGUUAAGUAUUCCACCUGGGGAGUACGCCGGCAACGGUGAAACUCAAAUGAAUUGACGGGG
RNAcentral lists this ribosomal RNA (393 nucleotides) under uncultured bacterium. RNAcentral describes it as "partial 16S ribosomal RNA". It matches the Rfam family "Bacterial small subunit ribosomal RNA", at positions 523 to 918 of the family's 1533-position model. The record is from RNAcentral.